Molecule: ribosomal RNA, 376 nt
Filed under: uncultured organism
Description: partial 16S ribosomal RNA
Rfam family: Bacterial small subunit ribosomal RNA
Source: RNAcentral
GUAGGUGGCAAGCGUUAUCCGGGAAUUAUUGGGGCGUAAAGCGCGCGUAGGCGGUUUUUUAAGUCUGAUGUGAAAGCCCACGGGCUCAACCGUGGGAGGGUCAUUGGAAACUGGAAAACUUGAGUGCAGAAGAGGAAAGUGGAAUUCCAUGUGUAGCGGUGAAAUGCGCAGAGAUAUGGAGGAACACCAGUGGCGAAGGCAACUUUCUGGUCUGUAACUGACGCUGAUGUGCGAAAGCGUGGGGAUCAAACAGGAUUAGAUACCCUGGUAGUCCACGCCGUAAACGAUGAGUGCUAAGUGUUAGGGGGUUUCCGCCCCUUAGUGCUGCAGCUAACGCAUUAAGCACUCCGCCUGGGGAGUACGACCACAAAGGUUG